AUUCAGCAAGUCUUCGUGUAUUGCUGACUUUAUCCCCAACAAAUUGGUGUCAGAAGUGGAACACGUCUCUGCUAUUCAUUUCCAAUUUCCAGAGCUCUGAAUGAGUUGGCAAAUAUCCAUCAUCCACAAAGGGGCCAGGCUGAUUUUAUCCCCAACAAAUUGGUGUCAGAAAUGGUUGCAAUUGGAUGGAACGGAAAUUACAGGUAAGAGGAUAUUUAAAGACCUUCUUUACCUGCUUCUCCCAUCCCCCACACAUUGUAUUUGUUAUUUAAAUGGUGUUUUUCACUAUUUAAUUUUUUUAAGGGGGAUUUUCACUGCAUAAUGUAUUUGGUAGACAUGAUAUUUUUUAAGUCUAAAGUAGACUUUUAUGACUCCUUGGGUUGGAGGAAAGCCUUUGGCAGGCAAUAUUGUGCAAAAUUGUCUUUGGUAGACAAUUCCUCUUUGGUAGAAGUUCACUUGUGGCAGGUGGUAAAAAGAUUUUCAAGCCUUUAGCGGGCUGUCAUGUCAUGUAAUGUACAUGUAAAUGUGGGUUUUGCAGACUAAAAUGGUUUAAAGAAUAAGAAAAAAAAAGAGAGAGUUAGUAACUUACUUGAUGGGCGUCUUGGCUGCACCCCAACCUCUGUUUUUGCUUAAUUUUUAUAUAUCUCUGCUUUUUGGCUUUUGUGUUGUUUUAAAUAAUAUAUAUAUAACUUUGCAAGGGAUUGGAAUUACAGACACAGACAGAAAAGAUGAAAUCCGUUUUAACUACUCUGCAGUGGUAGUUAUAUUUAAAGAAAAAAAAUGUACAGAAUUUGGCUACCAUGUUUUUAAAUGGAAUAAAAACGGAUUUCCCAAUCUAAAAAAUAUCCGUUCCCUAAUCCCGGGGAAAAUUUCAAACAGUAUGUUGCUUGAAUAUAGCCCCUCACUUGUACCCUGUUUAACAAGAGGGGAUAAGAAUUAAAGGAAUAAAAUGAUUAAGGGAAUGUCAAAUGUAUAUGUGAAGGUGAUGAUGAUAAAGAGGAAGAAGAGAUAGAAAUAGAGGUUAUUUAACCCCUUAAGGACACAUGACAUGUGUGACAUGUCAUGAUUCCCUUUUAUUCCAGAAGUUUGGUCCUUAAGGGUUUAAGGGGGGCUACAAAUUCUAGAAGUAACAUGAUUUCUCUGCAUAUAUGUUUGUUUGCAUAAUGAGCCCUUUUUGUUUUUAUACUUGGACAAAAGUACUAUAAGCCCACUACACUUUUUCAUGAGAGUGGGAUGUAUGAUUGUUUAUAUGAUGAGCCCUUUAUUUUCAUAUUGGGACAAAAAGGUCACUUCAUUCAAAACAUCAAACACCACAUGCUUUCUGCCCUGAGUGUUUGUUGCAGAGAAUUUAUGUUGUAAAUUUAGAUGAUUAUAAAUUAGAGAGCAAAAUUUAUAUUUUCAGCGGUCCAACACAUGCUUCAUAUCGUGCUGUAAGCUAACUUGUGCUUGCUACUUGCUUGCUACAGGUACUUGACAUGUUGUAUAUGCUUUAAAUUGUAUGUAUUCUGUAGCAUUGUGAAAAUAUGUAAAUUGUUGUAUGGGGAUGCUGAGAUUUUAUUGAUUGCGACCCAAAACUCUAGAUCCCAUGUGCAGAAGUGGGUUUGAAUUUUUGGUCAUGGAAUGUAGGAUCGGAAAACCAUGGACAAAGGUUUUUACCUGUGUUGUUAUGACUUUUGGGAACUCAAAUUGACCGGUCAAAAUUUUGCCAUGCCUUUAACAUGGAGUAGUAUAAAUAUUUUGAGUCUUUGAGAAUUCUGACAAAUGCAGGUGAUACCAUGUCUGUGUAAUAUGGUCCAAAUGUUUUAUAAACGUAUAAGAGAGAAAUUCUAUUGACAGGGUACAUAUGUUGUAACUGGUCAAUGCAAGUUUAAAAAAAUGUUUAAGUCAAACGCGUUAUAUGGCCGUAUGGGAUCCCUUCUUUAACCCCUUAAGGACACAUGACAUGUGUGACAUGUCACGAUUCCAUUUUAUUCCAGACGUUUGGUCCUUAAGGGGUUAAAAAGACACUCUUAAAAUAAAUUUGACACAAACUAAAACUGGUGUACCUUACAAUAAUAUGUUCUGAAUAUAGCUGUUAAAAGUUUAUUCUAUGUAAAUGGUGAUUGUGAUAAAUGUGUGUUUUGGGUUACUCAUUUUGAAGCAUGCAGUUUAAUUGUCAUGUAUGUUAGUGGGUAUUUUGCUGUGUUAUUUUAAAUUAUAUUUGAAUAAGUUUGUCUCAGUAUUCUUACAGAUGGAAAUGGCAGUGUAAUAAUCUAUUAUAUAACUCAUUUAUUAUUGAAUACUAGUCCAAGAGCAACAUGAGUUGUAAUCUUAAAAAACAAAACAAAACAAAAAAACAAAAAAAAGGGGGAGGCUGUUUUUGUAAGUUUUAGCUGAUUUCCAAAAUUUUGUUGCAAUAAUGUUUUUUUUGCCACAAUUCGACUUUCCUGUCCAGUUGCCAGGUUCUCUGGUCUAUCCUUAAAGCAGUACUGCUUGCAUAGUUUGCAGAAAUGCAUAAUGCACAAACAUGGGAACCUACAUUAUGUCUGUGUUUCUUUUGAGGUUCACCGACUGUGACAUUUAUUAAUUUAUUUUGGAUUGCGUUAAUUGCCUGUCCAUUAAUACGUUUUUUGUAUUGGCAUGUCUGCUGGAUAUCUGCUACAUUCGUUGUGUUCUGUGUUAUAAGAUGACGUGUGUGAUAUUACAAUGAGUAUGAAGAAUAUUUAAAGAAUAUUUGCAUGUCAUUAAUGCAAGCCUUUAGUGUCUUUUUACAACAGAUUAAAACACUGAUCAGCCGACAAGAAAGGGGCCCCUGGGAAAGAAAAAAAAAAUCAUCUGCUUUUCAAACUCGUGGAUCCACGUUUCCAAUUUUAAAUGUCUCUCUCUCUCUCUCUCUCUCUCUCUCUCUGUAUUAUUAGGGGAGUAUUUAGAGUUAACUCUACUUUUAUAGUGCAUUACAUUACUUAUGUCAAAAUUAUAUGGUUAUAUAAAAAGAGAAAGAAAAAAUGAAUGGAUGUAUAGGAUAGGUUUUUUCCAAGAUUAAGAUUCAUCUAGUAUGCCUCAUUGAUUAUAGCAAAAUGAUGAAAUGGUAUUUUUAAUAGAGAUCAGACAAUUUUUGAUGAUAAAUGAGACAAUUCUAAACUACUGUAUUAUAUUUGUAUUGGUAAAUUGAAAGCAUUUUUCAGACCCAGAAGAGAAUAAAUAAUAUAAUAAUUAUAAAAGGAACCAUAUUAUGGGAAGAGGUCACCCAAUUAACUUGCUAAGGGGUUAAACUAAUUUUUGAUAAGCAUAUAAAAUUUAGUUUUUGUGGUUAGACUUUUGAUACUCAAUUUGAACUCAAUUGAGGCACUACAGCCAUAUCCGUGCAGGUAUAGGAAACAGCUGCAAUUUGAUUUUAAUAUUUACAAUAUAUUAGUGUUUUCAUUGUAAUCGGAUAAUGGAAAAGUAGCUAACCGCAUGUCUGCAUUACACCUAUGACCCAGACUGUCCGAUUGCAAACCCUAUAUGAAGACUCUGCUUUCACUGUUUAUGUAUAAACCCCUAGACAACCGUGCUAUACAUACACAAUAAAUAUUCAAAAGCUUAUUAAUAUUAUAUCUGUGUGGUACACAAAGAGGGGUACACAAUGAGGGGGGUGUGAGUUAGGUAAUCUCGACCUUGUAAUGGUAAAUUAAGUAAUUUCUUUAUAUUUAUGAAGUUCUGAAUUUCAUAAAAAUGAAAUAAUACCACAAAUAAAAGAAUAAAAGGUAUACUGGUCAAUCACAUAAAUAUUAAUGAAUAUCUUGAAUUAACAGACAAGAGGCAAAGUUUUGAUGAAAGUAUAAACAAAACUUUACUGGGAAUACAAUUAUCAAGCACACAAAAAACAAAUAUUUUAAAAACACACACUGCUAUAAACAAUACAUUCAGGUAAGAAAUCCACUUAGCUCUAUUCAUGGAGAUUCAGCAGCUUACACAUGAUAAUUCAAUCAGCAUAACACAGAGAACAAUGAUGUGAGUUCCUUGCCACAUGUUAAAUGGAUUUACAUGGGCACCUCUAAAGACACCUGGCUUCUUCCGACCCAGUCAUGAAACUGCUCUCUAGUUUCUGGUAACCCCUUAAAUAACCUCCCAUCUAGUAUCCACCCACAAAGGUAACAUAACCAAUACCCAAUGAUCAUCUCUAGGAGGCGGAUACUACAUGUGGUCAUUUGUGAAAGGAAGUGACUUAAGAAUUCUCAAUACCUUCCUAAAGCACAUGUCUCAUUGACUAUGCGGCAGCCAUCUUUAUUCACUUGACGUCACAGUGCUCACUAGGCCACCUAUAGGUACCUUCCUCCCUAAAGCACAUGUCUCAUUAAAUAUGCAGCAGCCAUCUUCUUGCUCUUAAUGUCACAUAGCUCACUACACCCCCUAUAGGUAUCAUAAGUUAUUGCACAUGAAUGGGAACACAAUAAUAAAACAUUUAUCGUUGCCCAUAACCAAUACAGACCUGCAUAUGGAAUAUGCUUCCUCCUUGUUCACUUUUGGUCAAACUGUUGGUCAGUGACUGGCCCUCUUUGACCCCAACUAAAUUUCUUUGGAAGAUUCAUGAGAAAGGUUCAGCAAGUUGUUUUGAUAUAAAGAAAGAAGGAAACGAGUAUGUUGUUUCAAUCACAGGGUUUACAGUAUUGUGACCUUAAGCAGGCAAGACAAAGAAAUGUGGGAGGUGAUAGGAGAUUGAAUCAGAAAAGUUUUAGAGGCAGAGGUAGAGGAUUUGAUCAAAGGGUCUAACUUUUGUAGAGGUGGCAACUUCAGCACUGUUUUAAUUGUGGAUAGCAGGGGUUCACUCACCUGUCCAACAAGCAUUUAUAUAGUGUAAGUACUUCUCUCAUCCAUACAAAGGCAUUGAAAGGGAAAUUGUGUACACAUUCAUACAGGACAAAUUUCAUGAAUUAUAAGCAAAGCUAAGAGAAGUACAUGUUACACAAGUUAAGGGUUUAACUUUAGUCUCUAAUUUGAGUUUAUCCUAGAUAAUUCAUUUAUUGAUGUCGUACUGAUCCUUGUGUUUGUAUGAUUAUAGAGACCAUACUGGAGUAUUUGUGCCGCCUGAUACUUG
RNAcentral lists this long non-coding RNA (5056 nucleotides) under Pelobates cultripes (western spadefoot toad). Lineage: Eukaryota; Metazoa; Chordata; Amphibia; Anura; Pelobatidae. The record is from RNAcentral.